RNAcentral lists this ribosomal RNA (408 nucleotides) under uncultured microorganism. RNAcentral describes it as "bacterial SSU rRNA". It matches the Rfam family "Archaeal small subunit ribosomal RNA", at positions 330 to 745 of the family's 1478-position model. The record is from RNAcentral.
GCGCAGCAGGCGAGAAACUUUACAAUGUGCGAAAGCACGAUAAGGGAACUCUGAAUGCCUCCUAAGGAGGCUGUUCAGGUGUCUAAAAGCACCUGGAGUAAGGGCUGGGUAAGACCGGUGCCAGCCGCCGCGGUAACACCGGCAGCCCAGGUGGUAGCCACUUUUAUUGGGUCUAAAGCGUCCGUAGCCGGUUGAGUAAGUUCCUUGGGAAAUUUGGCUGCUCAACAGUCAAGCUUCCAGGGAAUACUGCUCGACUUGGGACUGGGAGAGGUCAGAGGUACUCCAGGGGUAGGGGUGAAAUCCAUUAAUCCCUGGGGGACCACCGGUAGCGAAGGCGUCUGACCAGACCAGGUCCGACGGUGAGGGACGAAGGCUAGGGUCGCGAACCGGAUUAGAUACCCGGGUAGU